RNAcentral lists this ribosomal RNA (426 nucleotides) under uncultured bacterium. RNAcentral describes it as "bacterial SSU rRNA". It matches the Rfam family "Bacterial small subunit ribosomal RNA", at positions 506 to 930 of the family's 1533-position model. The record is from RNAcentral.
UGCCAGCAGCCGCGGUAAUACGUAGGGCCCGAGCGUUAUCCGGAUUUAUUGGGCGUAAAGAGCAUGUAGGCGGUUUAGUAAGUCGGAUUUUAAAGUCCCGGGCUCAACUCGGGUUUUGGAUUCGAUACUGCUUUUCUAGACAGUGGCAGGGGCAAGUGGAAUUAGUGGUGUAGCAGUGAAAUGCGUUGAUCUCACUAAGAACACCGAUGGCGAAGGCAGCUUGCUAGGUCACUUGUGACGCUGAGAUGCGAAAGCGUGGGGAGCGAACGGGAUUAGAUACCCCGGUAGUCCACGCCGUAAACGAUGCAGACUAGGCAUCAGGAGUAUCGACCCUCCUUGUGCCGUAGCUAACGCGUUAAGUCUGCCGCCUGGGGAGUACGGCCGCAAGGCUAAAACUCAAAGGAAUUGACGGGGGCCCGCACAAGC